UGUGCAAAGUUUGACCUUCUGUGCUUAGCUUAUUUGACUUACAAUGACCUCCGGUUCUAUCCAUGUUGUUGUAAAUGAUAGGAUCUCAUUCUUUUGUAGCUGAAUAAUACUCCAUUCUGUAUAUAUACCACAAUUUUCUAAAUCCAUUCAUCUUUUGAUGGACACUUAGGUUGCUUCCAAGUCUUGGCUGUCGUGGAUACUGCUGCAGAAAUCAUGGGAGUGCAAAUAUCUCUGGCAUACUGAUUUCCAGUCUUUUGGGUGAAUACCAAGCAAGUGGAAUACUGGAUCAUAAGCACUAUUCACAGCAACAGAUGUGAAAUCAACCUAAGUGUCCAUCAA
This 339-nucleotide long non-coding RNA is filed under the name Callithrix jacchus (white-tufted-ear marmoset). RNAcentral describes it as "lncRNA (ENSCJAG00000076479.1)". The record is from RNAcentral. Lineage: Eukaryota; Metazoa; Chordata; Mammalia; Primates; Cebidae.